CGAUUGGUUUAGAUUUUAAGAAAUAAAAAUAUGUUUAUAAAUUUGAAGGUUUCUUAAGUUUUGUCGAAUGUGUAUGGAUGAAUUAUGGAUAGUGUGUUUUUGUGCUAGUUAUAAAUAUGUGUGCAAAUUUUGAGAUCAAUAGAACAAUUAGAUCAAAGUAUGUGAAGGUUCUUGUGGAUCAUGGUCUAAAACAUUGGAGUUUGAAGGUAGGUAAGUUUUUCUAAGAUCUUCAAUAAUUUGUGAAUCAAAUUGAAGUGAAUCUUUUUACAUGGAUACUAGACUUGAUUUGUAAGAUUUUAAUUAAUAUCUGAGAGUAAUU
Molecule: long non-coding RNA, 319 nt
Filed under: Physcomitrium patens
Lineage: Eukaryota; Viridiplantae; Streptophyta; Bryopsida; Funariales; Funariaceae
Description: long non-coding RNA (PPAT_LNC008737)
Source: RNAcentral